AUGUAUGCCACGUUGUUAUAAAAAUUCUCUCCCUUGUGAGAAUAUAUAUAUAUUGUGUGUGAAAAGGGUCAAAAAAGAGUCCUAUUUACAUCCCUCUCUUCGGUUUUAAUGGAGAAAAAAUUCUGAAAAUUAUUCUUGCUUCGUUCUUCUUCGGCCCAGAAAUAGAAAAGGAAAUCACGCAUACAGGUAGUGAAUUAAUCAAUUGUGGAAUCUCAAAAAUGUCCACUGGAGAAGUCAGAAGGGUCUCUCGACAAGAUAUACAGCUGGUUCAAAAUCUAAUAGAGCGAUGCCUUCAACUGUACAUGAAUCAGAAAGAGGUGGUGGAGACGCUUUUGAUCCAAGCAAAAAUAGAACCUGGUUUUACGGAACUCGUGUGGCAAAAGCUUGAAGAAGAAAACCGGGAGUUUUUUAAAGCCUACCAUGUCAGAUUGAUGGUGAAACACCAGAUAAUGAUCUUUAACGAGUUGCUUGAGAAACAGGUGGAGCUCAUGCGUAAGACGUGCCCUGUUGGAAUUGGAAUGUCUAAUGGAUCUUCAUUGAAUCAGAAUCCUCCAUGUUUCAUGUCUGACCAGAGAGUGCAACCUUCAAGGCCGGAAAGCAUGCAUCACUCGGUGUCCCCUUCAACUACAAUCCGGAAUGGUGUGCAUGGUAACAUACAAUCUUCUGAUGAUUCAUCUGCUCAUACUGGAAGGAUGGAUGUCUCACAGAACAUGCUCCCAACUCACGAUGCACUGGGUAUGAUUCAAGGAGUGAAUGGGAUUGUCGUCAAAUCAGAAUCAGGUUACUCGAACAAUUCCCCGUUUGCAUUUGGUCUCGACGGAACUGUUCUGGACACACGUCCAACAGUUGUAGAUGCAUCCGUUGCAUCAUAUAGCAGUGUGGAGUCCAACUCUCAAGCCCUUAGUUCAUCACUCUUGGAUACUGAUGCUUCUUCGUUUGGCUUCUUAGGGCAGAUUCCUCGCAAUUUCAGUCUGUCAGAUUUGACGGCUGAUUUUUCUCAGAGUUCCGAUAUUCUGGAGAGCUACUCAAGAUCUCCAUUUCUAGCAGGAGAUACAGAUGACUUCCUGGAUUCCCCGGGAAGAGAACCUCAAGGAGAUAAUAAGAGGUUGGACACCAUAUCUGAAGGCUUGAGUUUCGACGAGUUUGGCAGUGAAUGAUUAGAGACUGCCAGUGGUUUUGGGGGUUCAUUAUUUUCGAGGGAAGAUGGGGGGACGUACGUGUGGGAAUAAUGAUCUACAGUAGCAACCUAGGACAGAAGUAAUUGUACAUAGCCAUUCUGGAAAUAUGUGGAGAAAUGUUUAUGCACUGCGUCCAAAGAAAGGCAUUUGUUUAAAGAGAGGUAUUUAUCUUAAAUCUAUCAUUGUGAGCAGUUUUCAAUUAUCUCACUGAGGCCACCUUGGUAGAUUUUGAGAUUAAAUGCUUACUAACCAAAAGUCUUCCAUUAUAACUGUUAGGAAGUUUAAAUCAAUUUCAAGUGAAUGUCUUUUUUUUUUCUUUUCUUAUCUACUUGGGGAGAAUUGUGUGAUUGAAUUCCAUUAGGUCUUUUUAUAUUGGGUUUAGAGUUUUGUAUAAAUAAUAAUAAUAUUAUGAGAUGCAGAUUUGGCUUACAAUAGUAGAGUUUCGGUAGAUGUUCCUUUUUACACUUUGUAUCAAAUGAAUUGAUAUUAUUGGACAGUGGAAUGUUACUUCAUAUCUUUUA
Molecule: RNA transcript, 1699 nt
Organism: Papaver somniferum (opium poppy)
Lineage: Eukaryota; Viridiplantae; Streptophyta; Magnoliopsida; Ranunculales; Papaveraceae
Exons: 9
Source: RefSeq, a predicted model, not a curated record